This 619-nucleotide ribosomal RNA is filed under the name uncultured bacterium. RNAcentral's name for it is "bacterial SSU rRNA". It matches the Rfam family "Bacterial small subunit ribosomal RNA", at positions 338 to 950 of the family's 1533-position model. The record is from RNAcentral.
CCUACGGGAGGCAGCAGUGGGGAAUUUUGGACAAUGGGCGCAAGCCUGAUCCAGCCAUGCCGCGUGCGGGAAGAAGGCCUUCGGGUUGUAAACCGCUUUUGUCAGGGAAGAAAUCCUUUGGGUUAAUACCUCGGAGGGAUGACGGUACCUGAAGAAUAAGCACCGGCUAACUACGUGCCAGCAGCCGCGGUAAUACGUAGGGUGCGAGCGUUAAUCGGAAUUACUGGGCGUAAAGCGUGCGCAGGCGGUUAUGCAAGACAGAUGUGAAAUCCCCGGGCUCAACCUGGGAACUGCAUUUGUGACUGCAUAGCUAGAGUACGGUAGAGGGGGAUGGAAUUCCGCGUGUAGCAGUGAAAUGCGUAGAUAUGCGGAGGAACACCGAUGGCGAAGGCAAUCCCCUGGACCUGUACUGACGCUCAUGCACGAAAGCGUGGGGAGCAAACAGGAUUAGAUACCCUGGUAGUCCACGCCCUAAACGAUGUCAACUGGUUGUUGGACGGCUUGCUGUUCAGUAACGAAGCUAACGCGUGAAGUUGACCGCCUGGGGAGUAACGGCCGCAAGGUUGAAACUUNAAAUGAAUUGACGGNNGAGAGNGCGAGGACGACGACGAGGGAGAGG